RNAcentral lists this ribosomal RNA (2155 nucleotides) under Bacillus thuringiensis serovar israelensis. Its description in RNAcentral is "bacterial LSU rRNA". It matches the Rfam family "Bacterial large subunit ribosomal RNA", at positions 1 to 2155 of the family's 2925-position model. The record is from RNAcentral. Lineage: Bacteria; Bacillati; Bacillota; Bacilli; Caryophanales; Bacillaceae.
UUUGGUUAAGUUAGAAAGGGCGCACGGUGGAUGCCUUGACACUAGGAGUCGAUGAAGGACGGGACUAACGCCGAUAUGCUUCGGGGAGCUGUAAGUAAGCUUUGAUCCGAAGAUUUCCGAAUGGGGAAACCCACUAUACGUAAUGGUAUGGUAUCCUUACCUGAAUACAUAGGGUAUGGAAGACAGACCCAGGGAACUGAAACAUCUAAGUACCUGGAGGAAGAGAAAGCAAAUGCGAUUUCCUGAGUAGCGGCGAGCGAAACGGAACAUAGCCCAAACCAAGAGGCUUGCCUCUUGGGGUUGUAGGACAUUCUAUACGGAGUUACAAAGGAACGAGGUAGACGAAGCGACCUGGAAAGGUCCGUCGUAGAGGGUAACAACCCCGUAGUCGAAACUUCGUUCUCUCUUGAAUGUAUCCUGAGUACGGCGGAACACGUGAAAUUCCGUCGGAAUCUGGGAGGACCAUCUCCCAAGGCUAAAUACUCCCUAGUGAUCGAUAGUGAACCAGUACCGUGAGGGAAAGGUGAAAAGCACCCCGGAAGGGGAGUGAAAGAGAUCCUGAAACCGUGUGCCUACAAAUAGUCAGAGCCCGUUAAUGGGUGAUGGCGUGCCUUUUGUAGAAUGAACCGGCGAGUUACGAUCCCGUGCAAGGUUAAGCUGAAGAGGCGGAGCCGCAGCGAAAGCGAGUCUGAAUAGGGCGUUUAGUACGUGGUCGUAGACCCGAAACCAGGUGAUCUACCCAUGUCCAGGGUGAAGUUCAGGUAACACUGAAUGGAGGCCCGAACCCACGCACGUUGAAAAGUGCGGGGAUGAGGUGUGGGUAGCGGAGAAAUUCCAAUCGAACCUGGAGAUAGCUGGUUCUCCCCGAAAUAGCUUUAGGGCUAGCCUUAAGUGUAAGAGUCUUGGAGGUAGAGCACUGAUUGAACUAGGGGUCCUCAUCGGAUUACCGAAUUCAGUCAAACUCCGAAUGCCAAUGACUUAUCCUUAGGAGUCAGACUGCGAGUGAUAAGAUCCGUAGUCAAGAGGGAAACAGCCCAGAUCGCCAGCUAAGGUCCCAAAGUGUGUAUUAAGUGGAAAAGGAUGUGGAGUUGCUUAGACAACUAGGAUGUUGGCUUAGAAGCAGCCACCAUUUAAAGAGUGCGUAAUAGCUCACUAGUCGAGUGACUCUGCGCCGAAAAUGUACCGGGGCUAAAUACACCACCGAAGCUGCGAAUUGAUACCAAUGGUAUCAGUGGUAGGGGAGCGUUCUAAGUGCAGUGAAGUCAGACCGGAAGGACUGGUGGAGCGCUUAGAAGUGAGAAUGCCGGUAUGAGUAGCGAAAGACGGGUGAGAAUCCCGUCCACCGAAUGCCUAAGGUUUCCUGAGGAAGGCUCGUCCGCUCAGGGUUAGUCAGGACCUAAGCCGAGGCCGACAGGCGUAGGCGAUGGACAACAGGUUGAUAUUCCUGUACCACCUCUUUAUCGUUUGAGCAAUGGAGGGACGCAGAAGGAUAGAAGAAGCGUGCGAUUGGUUGUGCACGUCCAAGCAGUUAGGCUGAUAAGUAGGCAAAUCCGCUUAUCGUAAAGGCUGAGCUGUGAUGGGGAAGCUCCUUAUGGAGCGAAGUCUUUGAUUCCCCGCUGCCAAGAAAAGCUUCUAGCGAGAUAAAAGGUGCCUGUACCGCAAACCGACACAGGUAGGCGAGGAGAGAAUCCUAAGGUGUGCGAGAGAACUCUGGUUAAGGAACUCGGCAAAAUGACCCCGUAACUUCGGGAGAAGGGGUGCUUUCUUAACGGAAAGCCGCAGUGAAUAGGCCCAAGCGACUGUUUAGCAAAAACACAGCUCUCUGCGAAGCCGUAAGGCGAAGUAUAGGGGGUGACACCUGCCCGGUGCUGGAAGGUUAAGGAGAGGGGUUAGCGUAAGCGAAGCUCUGAACUGAAGCCCCAGUAAACGGCGGCCGUAACUAUAACGGUCCUAAGGUAGCGAAAUUCCUUGUCGGGUAAGUUCCGACCCGCACGAAAGGUGUAACGAUUUGGGCACUGUCUCAACCAGAGACUCGGUGAAAUUAUAGUACCUGUGAAGAUGCAGGUUACCCGCGACAGGACGGAAAGACCCCGUGGAGCUUUACUGUAGCCUGAUAUUGAAUUUUGGUACAGUUUGUACAGGAUAGGCGGGAGCC